RNAcentral lists this ribosomal RNA (253 nucleotides) under uncultured bacterium. RNAcentral describes it as "partial 16S ribosomal RNA". It matches the Rfam family "Bacterial small subunit ribosomal RNA", at positions 524 to 776 of the family's 1533-position model. The record is from RNAcentral.
UACGGGGGGUGCAAGCGUUACUCGGAAUCACUGGGCGUAAAGAGCAUGUAGGCGGGUAAUUAAGUUAGAAGUGAAAUCCUAUGGCUUAACCAUAGAACUGCUUCUAAAACUGAUAACCUAGAGUAUGGGAGAGGUAGAUGGAAUUUCUGGUGUAGGGGUAAAAUCCGUAGAGAUCAGAAGGAAUACCGAUUGCGAAGGCGAUCUACUGGAACAUAACUGACGCUAAGAUGCGAAAGCGUGGGGAGCAAACAGG